Molecule: ribosomal RNA, 429 nt
Filed under: Chloroflexota bacterium
Lineage: Bacteria; Bacillati; Chloroflexota
Description: Chloroflexi bacterium partial 16S ribosomal RNA
Rfam family: Bacterial small subunit ribosomal RNA
Source: RNAcentral
UGGGGAAUAUUGCACAAUGGGCGCAAGCCUGAUGCAGCCAUGCCGCGUGUGUGAAGAAGGCCUUCGGGUUGUAAAGCACUUUCAGCGGGGAGGAAGGCGUUAAGGUUAAUAACCUUGGCGAUUGACGUUACCCGCAGAUGAAGCACCGGCUAACUCCGUGCCAGCAGCCGCGGUAAUACGGAGGGUGCAAGCGUUAAUCGGAAUUACUGGGCGUAAAGCGCACGCAGGCGGUCUGUCAAGUCGGAUGUGAAAUCCCCGGGCUCAACCUGGGAACUGCAUUCGAAACUGGCAGGUUAGAGACUUGUAGAGGGAGGUGGAAUUCCAGGUGUAGCGGUGAAAUGCGUAGAGAUCUGGAGGAAUACCGGUGGCGAAGGCGGCCCCCUGGACAAAGCCUGACGCUCAGGUGCGAAAGCGUGGGGAGCAAACAGG